GGUGCUAUGGCUCAGUGGUAGAGCGCUUGCUUUGCACUUGUGAGACACUGGGUUCGAUCCUCAGCACCA
This 69-nucleotide transfer RNA is filed under the name Urocitellus parryii (Arctic ground squirrel). Its description in RNAcentral is "Spermophilus parryii (Arctic ground squirrel) tRNA". It matches the Rfam family "tRNA". From Rfam's summary of the family: Transfer RNA (tRNA) molecules are approximately 80 nucleotides in length. RNAcentral also lists the same sequence under 1 other name. Lineage: Eukaryota; Metazoa; Chordata; Mammalia; Rodentia; Sciuridae. The record is from Rfam by way of RNAcentral.